AGCCGGAGCCCGAGUGAGCGCGGGCUUGAGACCUGCUGAGCAGCGGGACCUGGCGGCUGGCGUUCUGGUGUGGGGCCGAGAACAGACCCUUCUUCUGAAAAGCCACUGGCCCCUUGUUCUAUGAAGGGUCCCCAUCCCCCAGGCUGCAGACUGGUACCAGUCCAUGGCAUGUUAGGAGCUGGGCUGCAUAGUAAGAGGUCGAUUUCUCAUUGUCUUCACCAAUCUUCUGAACCCGUGAAUACUUUUUGCAUGAUGAUUUGAAGCAGCCAGGAGGCCAAGACAGCGGCCAGGAGAAGCAGCAAGGAAUUGAGCCUUGUACAUUUUUCUCAAAAAAAUAAAAGAUGGGGAACCACCAUGCUCGAGAUAAGAAA
Long non-coding RNA from Homo sapiens (human), 371 nucleotides. Ensembl annotates it as CYP2U1 and SGMS2 antisense RNA 1. Its record names the gene CYP2U1-AS1. The record is from Ensembl. Lineage: Eukaryota; Metazoa; Chordata; Mammalia; Primates; Hominidae.